Molecule: ribosomal RNA, 777 nt
Filed under: uncultured Neocallimastigales
Lineage: Eukaryota; Fungi; Neocallimastigomycota; Neocallimastigomycetes; Neocallimastigales
Description: partial large subunit ribosomal RNA
Rfam family: Eukaryotic large subunit ribosomal RNA
Source: RNAcentral
GUACACGCUGUGACUAGCAUAUCAAUAAGCGGAGGAAAAGAAACUAACAAGGAUUCCCCUAGUAACGGCGAGUGAAGCGGGAAGAGCUCAGAUUUGAAGUCUUAAAGGGUUUCCCUUUACGAAUUGUAGUUUAAAGAAGUGUUUUCUGUUGAGGUUUUGGUAAAAGUUCUUUGGAAUAGGGACAUCAUAGAGGGUGAGAAUCCCGUAUUUGACCUUUACUUUCAACUUUGUGAUACACUUUCAAGGAGUCGGAUUGUUUGGGAAUGCAGUCCAAAAUGGGUGGUAAAUUUCAUCUAAAGCUAAAUAUUGGCGAGAGACCGAUUAGCGAACAAGUACCGUGAGGGAAAGAUGAAAAGAACUUUGAAAAGAGAGUUAAACAGUACGUGAAAUUGUCAAAAGGGAAGCGUUUGACACCAGUGUUGUUUUUCUGAAAAUCAAUUAAAGAACUGUUUAUGCUAAGCUGUUUAGACUUUAUCAGCUAAUCUGUUUAGUUUUGAGCUUUUCUUUAAUGCACUUUUCAGUUAACAAGUCAACAUCAAUUUCUUUUGCUGUAAAAAAGCUUGAGGAAGGUGGCUUGAGAUUCGUCUUAAGUGUUUAUAGCCUCUUGCCUAUGCAGUCGGAGAGAUUGAGGUCUGCAGCGUAGAUCCUUCGGGGCUAAAUGCAUUUGUGCUAAGUUAUAGCAUUUUAUAGACAACUUGUUGACUAUGAUUUGUCUUGUAGCUUACUCGCUUAUGUUAUUUUACCUACGCUUAGGAUGUUGAGUCGUAGAGCACGCAG